This 497-nucleotide ribosomal RNA is filed under the name uncultured bacterium. Its description in RNAcentral is "partial 16S ribosomal RNA". It matches the Rfam family "Bacterial small subunit ribosomal RNA", at positions 28 to 507 of the family's 1533-position model. The record is from RNAcentral.
GAUGAACGCUGGCGGCGUGCCUAAUACAUGCAAGUCGAGCGAACAGACGAGGAGCUUGCUCCUCUGACGUUAGCGGCGGACGGGUGAGUAACACGUGGAUAACCUACCUAUAAGACUGGGAUAACUUCGGGAAACCGGAGCUAAUACCGGAUAAUAUAUUGAACCGCAUGGUUCAAUAGUGAAAGACGGUUUUGCUGUCACUUAUAGAUGGAUCCGCGCCGCAUUAGCUAGUUGGUAAGGUAACGGCUUACCAAGGCCACGAUGCGUAGCCGACCUGGGAGGGUGAUCGGCCACACUGGAACUGAGACACGGUCCAGACUCCUACGGGAGGCAGCAGUAGGGAAUCUUCCGCAAUGGGCGAAAGCUUGACGGAGCAACGCCGCGUGAGUGAUGAAGGUCUUCGGAUCGUAAAACUCUGUUAUUAGGGAAGAACAAAUGUGUAAGUAACUAUGCACGUCUUGACGGUACCUAAUCAGAAAGCCACGGCUAACUACGUG